UGGUCUCGUGUCCACAAACAUGCAAUUUAGGCGUACUUCUCAGAAUAACAGCAGUGCUCUCAAGGGAAAGUUGUUUUCCAGUGUUCCUAGCUGUGUUAGAGGAGUAUGGAAGGUACUCAAAGCUAAACUUUGUAAUCUGUACAAUUCCCAAAUGUUUGGCAUGGGACGGUGACUAGGGUCUGCAACCCUACUCUUCAUGGAUGAAAAAAUCUUUUUAAAAUUCCCCCAAAUGUCUCAUACUAAUGUGGUAAAUGGAAAACCUCAAACGACCUUGUUCCAGCAAAGCUCGAGUUUCCCUUAAACCACACCAAGAAUGUGGAAAAGUUGCCUCUCUGCCUGGAAACCAGUCACUGUGAACUGAUUGACACCACGUGAAGUGUCUCAAAGGCAAACACUAACUCUCUGGAGAGCAUUCAGUAAAAGUAGCAGAAUUGCAGCUGUGUAUCCAGACUCUCUGAAGGUCAGGUAGCUGUACCGUGGGUGAGCUGGCAGCUGAGACAUGCUACACAGCUACGCUCUUCAUGGUUGCCUAGAAAACUAUUUACUUCAAGCUGAAGGAGAACACAAGGAAGUCCUCGAUGCUCUUUUACAAAAACAAGAAGCACCUUAGGUCGCAUGGAGGUCUUUUGCUGCUAACAUACUGAUACCAAUGCUGCCCUGGUUAUAGUCAUGGAGGGGGAGGUUGAAGCCUGCACCUUUGCAUUUCUGAGCAAAAUUUUGUAUAUUUCCUUUCAAGUACAGCUUUCUCAUACACUCUGGAGAAAUAAUGUAUAUGUUCUAAAUUAAGAACUGGAAAAUAAUGCUCUCUAUAUUAAAAAAUAUUCUUGCUAAUUAAAUUUAGUCUUUUGUAUUUGAGCAAAAACCUGAGCCAGACCAAGAUCCUUUUGAGUAUCAACAUCACAUCUUGAACUGGUUCUAAUUUCCAUUGAAUCUAUCAUCUGGAUGUAUAGAAAUACUUUUACUAAAUCUGGCCGAGUACUGUUGCUGUGGUUUCCUAUAUUAGAACAUUCCAUUCUUACUCUCCUUUCUGCCGUGCAAUGUAAUGCCUUCUGUUUGGAUGGAAGCUACAUGAUCAGAAAGCAAUCCAUAUUAUGGGUGACAUGUGAAACACAGCUCUACAUAAUGCAUUUGGAUAACCAUUGAUUUCUGAGUUUUGGAGAUAAUUCUUUAGUAAAAUUCAGAAACGUUAAAAAAGAUUCUUCUUCCACAUCUUAAAAAAGAAGAAGAAGAAAGCAAAAAAAAAUCAGCAGAAAAAGAGUUUUUAUUAAAAUCAGAUUUUUGUAUUUUGGAAAUACAACUGCAUCUGCUUAGGAAAGAAAUAUUAGCAAUUUUUAUCCAUGAUCAAAAUGCUAAAAAAUAUUUUUUCUCAUCCUGUCUUUUAGCUUUCUUUGAAGUCACAAUAUUAAACCUCCUUAAAAAUAUUUAUGUGUAUUUAGUUAACAAAAGCUCCUGUAAGUUGAAUCCAUGCUGGCAAAAGGUUCAGGUAAGCUCUCUAUAUAAGCUUACAGACAAUUGUGUAAAUCUUCAGCCAUUAAAGAGAAAGGAGAAAAAAGCCAUCCUCAUUACACUGCUGUCAUUUACUCUUCAUCUCCUGUCCUCUUUAGCAGCAUUAAGAUGGGAUGUAAAUUUGCCAGUUAAUGCUGUUAGAAAAUGGAUGGUUCAAGAAGGGCAGGAAUUAGAGAUCAGUAUUAGGUGCAGAUAAGCUCCUUUUCCUCCGCAGUGGCGGCUGUUUAACAUUCAUGGGAAAAUCAUCAUCAAACAGCGUUAUCACAGCUCUGUUGAUGGCUGAGGAACUUCAUCACUAUGAUAAUUUUUUUUUAUAGCUGUGAGCCAAAAAGCUGCCUUUUAUUUCUGCUGUCUAUAACUGCGAUAGAAGCUUGUUUGUAUGGGUAGGGUAUUGCAAACUCAUAGCUCUUCAGCCAGGUUUGAUUUCUUUCCACCAUCUCUUCCCCCCUCAGCCCCUUGUGUGCGUUGCACUAAACAGUGAUGCUGAUAAAAAAUAAUAAAAAAAAAAGAGUGCUCAAACAAUCCUUCAAAGAAUAACUGAUAUUUUUAUGAUCAGUAAUUCAAAGUUUGACAAGUGAUGCCAUUCUGUAAUGACACUGUCAUCCAUUUUGCUGUAAGAAAAGAGCAGAGACUGUAAAGGAAACAAGCAGGGAAGAAGUGAAUAUCUAAUGUCACGUUAACUUGAUCAGGAAAUGGCUUAAGGAUCAUAACAUAACAUUUUUUUUCCAGUUAGAGACAGUUUUUUUGCUUCUUUCAUCGUCAGGUGAAAAGGUUCACAGCCUGUUACAUCUUCUUAUCAACUCCAACUCAAGAAGAAAACUGUACUUUUCUGUAGUUUCUCAAAUCUCUUUCAACUUAAAGAUAUUUUAGUUCAUUUGUAGUUCUUUUGCAACAACUUACAGUGUCUGAUUUCAAACUCAUCGUAUUUGCUUAUGGACUCAUCUUGAAAUGAUAUUUCUACAACAUACUCAGCCAUCUUCAAAUAUAUCUGAGAUGCAGAUUGAGGCCAUUCUUUGCCUUGUACUUGGGAGAGGGGAAGAUACACAGUUCCAGACUGCAUGCAUUCUUCUGAGGGAGAUAAGGUGCUAUUCAAGGAAAUUUUUUAAUUUAUUAAGGUUCUCAGCUUAUGCUUCUUUGCAGCUUUGCCCUCAUUUUUUAGUAGUUUAUCUGCUCUAAAUGACAUUUCUCAUUUUGAAUAUAACUGGAAAACAUUGUGCUAAACAGCAAUUUUAUAGCCUCCACAGCACCACCUGAUAAUUUUGAUAUUUCCACUUUGAAUUCAGUAUUGAUUUGAUUAGGUAGGUAAUUUACUUUCGACACAAGCUCAUUCCUUGUCUUUUCCUGAGUAGGGACUUCCAAUCAUGCCAUGUUGUGCUGAAUUAUGUUUGGAGUUUGCAGAUAAGGACUUUUGUCUACUCAAGACUGAGCUUAGGCCACCAAACUCAUUUCCCAUAGGAGGAGAGUUUGAAUCCAGUCAGGAACCUAAAGGUGAAAGGCUAGUGCUUUGUAAUUUAAAUAUUACCAUAUAAACAUAAGUUUAAGACAGAUACCAUGUGGUUUGGGGCAUACUAGAGUUAUUUUGAGUGGAAUUUCAAGAAGUUCCUCCCUAAAGAAGAAAGAAGCCCCCAAAUCUGCUGACUUCAAAAGAUCGCAGUUGUCCCCAAGGUCUCCUUGCUUCUGAGCCAUGCUGCCAGGCCCCUUCUCAGGCUGCCACCUGCGGGAACAGUGCCAGCAGAUCCCUCCUGGGCUGCUGCCCCAGCCCACCUCUGUGUUACCAGGCCUCUGCCAGAGAAGGGGAUUUCAGAGAGCACCGGACAAAGCUGGCCUUCCUUUGCUGAGCUGCAAGACAAGGGGGAUCUCAGCAUGGCCAGAGUGGGGUGGUGAUCCAAGGCAUUAUUAUACUCUUGCCUAACAUUGUUGUACUUGUUCAUGAUCACAAAAAGUGUAACAAAAAUAAAAAGGCAUUCUGUUCCAGAUAAUCACUAGACAAGAAGAUACAGCUACUCUGCAAAUCCAGCUAAUACAAGAGUGCUUUCUGUUAAUGGACUUAAAGGCUAGAGCUGGUUUUGUUCUUCUUUAGAGAGAACAUUUUCUGAGUUUCUAAAAAGAAAUAUUAUUAAAAUAUUAUUUAAAAAAUUUCUCAGGAAUCAUGACAAGCUUUUGAGACAAUGAAAGAGUUGUGAAGUGUUGUUUAAUUUUUCGUUUGUUAACAGGGUAGAAAGGAUUGUUACAGAGACAUUAUCAGUAUGAAGGAAGGUCUGUUUUGGAGCUGUUCUGCCAUCAUUCAUGCUUAUCCUACUUAUGCUUUGUUUUUAUAAGUAGGUAACUCCAUCUAGUUUCAUCAGCAAGGAGUGUAAAAAAUGAAUUUUUCUAGUUUCAUAAUACUGAGCUGGAUUGGGUUUUAUCUUGCAGUAACCAUACAAUUUUCGUUUCAGAGGAAGCUUGGGUUGCUGUUCAAAAGGCCUUAAAAUACUGUGGUAUUGUUUAAAAGACAUAUUUCUAGCCUUUUCCAGGCUAUGGAAGCCUAUGAAGCAGGCAAAAAUAUUGGGGUGUUUCAGUAACGCUUCAAGAGGGCUUCAUGACCCAUUUCCAUGUCCUAUGUCAUAUUCAGUUUUUCCUGGGACAUCA
Long non-coding RNA from Numida meleagris (helmeted guineafowl), 4134 nucleotides. RefSeq lists it as uncharacterized. The transcript has 4 exons. NCBI's taxonomy places the organism in Eukaryota, Metazoa, Chordata, Aves, Galliformes, Numididae. The record is from RefSeq and is a predicted model, not a curated record.